Molecule: ribosomal RNA, 253 nt
Filed under: uncultured bacterium
Lineage: Bacteria
Description: partial 16S ribosomal RNA
Rfam family: Bacterial small subunit ribosomal RNA
Source: RNAcentral
UACGUAGGGUGCGAGCGUUGUCCGGAAUUACUGGGCGUAAAGAGCUCGUAGGUGGUUUGUCGCGUUGUUCGUGAAAACCUGAGGCUUAACCUUGGGCGUGCGGGCGAUACGGGCAGACUGGAGUACUGCAGGGGAGACUGGAAUUCCUGGUGUAGCGGUGGAAUGCGCAGAUAUCAGGAGGAACACCGGUGGCGAAGGCGGGUCUCUGGGCCGAUACUGACGCUGAGGAGCGAAAGCGUGGGGAGCAAACAGG